CCCCUCUCAGGAUUGCACCUGGAGAGUUUCCAAUACUCUACCAGCCUCACCUAUGGGAGGGGGAGUCAAGCAGAGGCAUACUUACUCCAUUCCUAGCUUGGGCAGUGGCUAGUGAGUGGAAGGCAAUCUACUACAAGU
Small nucleolar RNA from Tachyglossus aculeatus (Australian echidna), 138 nucleotides. The record is from RefSeq and is a predicted model, not a curated record. NCBI's taxonomy places the organism in Eukaryota, Metazoa, Chordata, Mammalia, Monotremata, Tachyglossidae.